GACGAACGCUGGCGGCGUGCUUAACACAUGCAAGUCGAACGGAAAGGCCCUGCUUUUGUGGGGUGCUCGAGUGGCGAACGGGUGAGUAACACGUGAGUAACCUGCCCUUGACUUUGGGAUAACUUCAGGAAACUGGGGCUACUACCGGAUAGGAGCUCCUGCUGCAUGGUGGGGGUUGGAAAGUUUCGGCGGUUGGGGAUGGACUCGCGGCUUAUCAGCUUGUUGGUGGGGUAGUGGCUUACCAAGGCUUUGACGGGUAGCCGGCCUGAGAGGGUGACCGGCCACAUUGGGCCUGAGAUACGGCCCAGACUCCUACGGGAGGCAGCAGUGGGGAAUAUUGCACAAUGGGAGGAAGCCUGAUGCAGCAACGCCGCGUGCGGGAUGACGGCCUUCGGGUUGUAAACCGCUUUCGCCUGUGACGAAGCGUGAGUGACGGUAAUGGGUAAAGAAGCACCGGCUAACUACGUG
This 468-nucleotide ribosomal RNA is filed under the name uncultured bacterium. RNAcentral describes it as "partial 16S ribosomal RNA". It matches the Rfam family "Bacterial small subunit ribosomal RNA", at positions 28 to 507 of the family's 1533-position model. The record is from RNAcentral.